UACGUAGGGAGCAAACGUUGUCCGGAUUUAUUGGGCGUAAAGGGCUCGUAGGCGGUUCAACAAGUCGGUCGUGAAAGCCCGGGGCUCAACCCCGGGAUGCCGGUCGAAACUGUUGUGACUAGAGUUCGGUAGAGGUGAGUGGAAUUCUCAGUGUAGCGGUGGAAUGCGCAGAUAUUGAGAGGAACACCAUUAGCGAAGGCGGCUCACUGGGCCGAUACUGACGCUGAGGAGCGAAAGCGUGGGGAGCAAA
RNAcentral lists this ribosomal RNA (250 nucleotides) under uncultured archaeon. RNAcentral's name for it is "partial 16S ribosomal RNA". It matches the Rfam family "Bacterial small subunit ribosomal RNA", at positions 524 to 772 of the family's 1533-position model. The record is from RNAcentral.